GCUUGCUUUAAAACUGAAGAUAAUUAUAAACAGAUAUUAGGGAAAUGGUGCCAAAAGAACCUCAGCAAAUUGUUCACUGAUUCCUUGACUACAAUUCUCAAAACCACAUUUAAUCUCCUUUGAAGAGAAGAAUUGACAUUUUUAAUUUUUUUUUCUUUUUUUUCUUUUUUUUUUUUUUGGUCUGGUUAAAGACUGGAUUUAGAAUGGUGGUUGCUAAAACAAAAGAAACUUAAAUAUGACUUGAUUACAAUCUGAAACAGCACCUACAGAGCCUGAUAGAAGAGGUUCACUGACUCUGAAGCAAAGAGAAUGAUUGUCUGGCAGUUGGUGAUAAAAAAAUUAAAUUUAAACAUAAAUCAUAAAUGAGAAUAAUUAACUACUAAAACAAUCUGUCAGAGGGUUUUUUUUUAGUUGUUUUUUUUCCCAACAGAUAACAAGGUUUUCUUUAGUGGAAGUUUUCCUUUUUGCAGUGAUUGAUAACUUUGUGGAAAGAUAUUUAGAAAAUGUUCAUUCCUUUCCCCACAUUUGAAUUUUUUUAAAGGUAUGUUUAAUAUUAUCCUUCUUUUGCAAAAAAUGUUAUCAGUUAAAGAUUAGGUACUUAACACCCAAUCCCCAUGCUCUUGUAUUUAAGAUUGGUUGAAACUCUUAUGCAAUAGCUUGAGACUUUCAGUUCUCAAUCUCAGAUGAAGAAAAAGGGACUCAGAUAUGUUCAUUUAAGAUUUCUUCUAAGGGAUUUUUUUUUCAACCAGCUGUAAUCUGCAUCACCUGGAAUUUCCACCUCAAGGACAGACCACUUUCUAAAACACAGGAUAAAGUUCAACUGAAAAUUUUUAUAUUUGAGAUGAGAACAUAAGGAUGAAACUCUUUGAUGCUGAAGGGGAACCAGCAGCUUACAAUGUGAGACUAUUCCACACCUGUGGAAGAGGAAAAAGACUAGGACUGGAACAGUCUGGAUGCAUCUGUGGACAAGUGAAAGGAAAAUUAAGAAAAUAAAACAUAAGAAAAAAGUGCUAUUAACCACUCCUUGUUGGAAAGGAAGUGAGAAUUGAACAGAUGAACGUGACGUGCUUUGGAAAUGAGCCUGGGGGUGUAGAGACGGUUUCAUUUUUGUUUCAUAAAAAAGUUCUCCUUUUUUUUACUUUUUCUUUUUUUUUUCUUCAGCAGAAAGGGCAUUUUCUGUAAACACUUAAAUUUGUGCCAGCCAAAGGGAAAACAGAACUGUGUGUGCCUGAUAGGAGGGAGAAAUUCUAACCCAUGCAUUGUGAAUUGAGAGCCCUGGGUUGCCUGAGGUAUUUAGAGAGAGUUGUGGCUGGUGCUGUAAACAAGUGGAAUCUGUAACUGAGUUUAAAGGACUCUCAGUCAGACUUAUCCAGUGCUGACAA
RNAcentral lists this long non-coding RNA (1382 nucleotides) under Cyanistes caeruleus (blue tit). Its description in RNAcentral is "lncRNA (ENSCCEG00000017327.1)". The record is from RNAcentral. Lineage: Eukaryota; Metazoa; Chordata; Aves; Passeriformes; Paridae.